AGGCGCAAACACUUCCCCGGCGGUGCGGGGAGAGGGGGAGCCGGAAUGAGGCGGGGCGGGACUAGAGGAGGCGAAGAAGAGUGGUGGGAUAGUAGAAUUACGGAGCGCUAUCGAGGACAAGUUUGGUCAUUUGACUCUCGGAGGAGUUUCCUGGUGCGAACGUAAGGGAGAGAGAGGUUCAAGGAGGCAAAGUUUGAUUGGACUAAUACCGAAGAAUUGAAGUUUUAAGAAACUGAAAGAAGCAACAAAAGAAUAUGGCUGGUGAAGAAGGUAGAGGUUGCUUAGGAAUAAUACUAGACCGAAAGUCUCGUGGGGGACUUUCCAGAAUCAGUUUCGGGUGUUGGACCUGAAAAACAACUAGAAUGGAGAGCAAUCAAAACUUUUCCCAUAUGAUUCUUCUGGAAAGCCCUCUAUUGUGGAUGCAAUUGUGCGUCUGACCUCCGAUUUUUGUUGAAAUUGUGAAUCUGCCAGGAUGUGCAUAUGGUUCCGCUCUGGCUGGCCCGUAGCCAGGGGAGCAAAGGUGCAAAACAAGCCUGGAUUCUUGCUUUACAAGAGGAGCCUCAUCAGUGUUCACGCCCACGCAAUGAUCUGCUACCAACCCAACUACUUGAGAUGUCUAGGCUCCUUUUUAUUCAGCCUUUGCCCAUUUGAUUUGUCUUUUCUUUUUUUCUUUACUUUUGUUUGAUUACUUUACUUUGAUUUGUCUUUUCUUUUGUUAUUGUUAAGUAAAUUCUCUUUCAAAUUAUGCA
Cricetulus griseus (Chinese hamster) is the source of this 749-nucleotide non-coding RNA. Lineage: Eukaryota; Metazoa; Chordata; Mammalia; Rodentia; Cricetidae. The record is from RefSeq and is a predicted model, not a curated record.